GAUGAACGCUGGCGGCGUGCUUAACACAUGCAAGUCGAACGAAGCACUUAAGAUUGAUUCUUCGGAUGAAGUCUUUUGUGACUGAGUGGCGGACGGGUGAGUAACGCGUGGGUAACCUGCCUCAUACAGGGGGAUAACAGUUAGAAAUGACUGCUAAUACCGCAUAAGCGCACAGGGUCGCAUGACCUGGUGUGAAAAACUCCGGUGGUAUGAGAUGGACCCCGCGUCUGAUUAGCUAGUUGGCGAGGUAACGGCCCACCAAGGCGACGAUCAGUAGCCGACCUGAGAGGUGAUCGGGCCACAUUGGGACUGAGACACGGCCCAAAACUCCUACGGAGCAGCAGUGGGGAAUAUUUCGCGACAAUGGGGGAAACCCUGAUGCAGCGACGCCGCGUGAAGAGAAG
Molecule: ribosomal RNA, 404 nt
Filed under: uncultured bacterium
Lineage: Bacteria
Description: bacterial SSU rRNA
Rfam family: Bacterial small subunit ribosomal RNA
Source: RNAcentral